UGUUCAGACAGCUGUUGGGAAUCAGAAGUUAAACCUGUCAGAUUGCCAGAUGUUGCGGCCAAACCCAACCCAUCCCAGAGAGACGACAGGAGGAAACCAGGAUCUGCUGGUUUUGUGUCUCUGAUGUCUGAAAACAUGACAGGAGGAAAUCUUCUGAACUGAGACAGUCGGUGUUUUCUAGAAGCGGCUCUGCGAGAUGUAAAUCCCAGUUCCAGUUCCCCAACAUCUCCCAGUGCUCCCAGUCUGCUUUCUGUUUUCACCGCCACUCCUUCCUGACGCCGACGGCGCCAGGAGGUCAAAGUUCAAGAACUGUGGGAGUGGAGUUUUAUGUUGGAAAUAAAUUAAAAUGUGACAGUUUAUCAGAGUCUCUUAACUGCAGAGACUCUGCAUAUAAUGAUAUAUCAUAUAUCAGUAAUAAUAUAUCAUUAUGACUGAUAUUAAUAUCUGCUGAUGUAGUUUUCCAUAAAGCUUUGAGUUGUUAACAUACAUUAAAUUAUUAGGUAAUUACAGGAUAAUUAGAUUAUAAAGUGAACUAAAAUGUGCAUUAGUAACAAUCAGUUAAUUUAAUGCAAACAAAAUUUUUGAAAGUUAAGAUAACUCAUCUGAUUUUUCAGUGUGAGAAACGACGUAUUUGUGGAUGUGCUGCUGAACGGCAGUGGUGGUAUGAUGCUGAGGGAACAGCUGCUCAGUAUCUGGACUAAAGUUCAGUCUUUGUGUCGCCUCUUCUGCCUCAGCGCCGUUCCUGAAUUAUUAAUGAACAUUAAAUAUUAAACA
Molecule: long non-coding RNA, 774 nt
Organism: Xiphophorus hellerii (green swordtail)
Lineage: Eukaryota; Metazoa; Chordata; Actinopteri; Cyprinodontiformes; Poeciliidae
Exons: 3
Source: RefSeq, a predicted model, not a curated record